This 254-nucleotide ribosomal RNA is filed under the name uncultured bacterium. Its description in RNAcentral is "partial 16S ribosomal RNA". It matches the Rfam family "Bacterial small subunit ribosomal RNA", at positions 524 to 776 of the family's 1533-position model. The record is from RNAcentral.
UACGUAGGGAGCAAGCGUUGUCCGGAAUCAUUGGGCGUAAAGCGCGCGUAGGCGGCCUCAUAAGUCCGUUGUGAAAGUCAAAGGCUCAACCUUUGAAAGCCGAUGGAUACUGUGAGGCUAGAGUCCGGAAGAGGCGAGUGGAAUUCCUGGUGUAGCGGUGGAAUGCGCAGAUAUCAGGAGGAACACCUGAGGCGAAGGCGGGUUGCUAGGCUGACACUGACGCUGACAGCGCGAAAGCCAGGGGAGCAAACGGG